Molecule: long non-coding RNA, 776 nt
Filed under: Marmota monax (woodchuck)
Lineage: Eukaryota; Metazoa; Chordata; Mammalia; Rodentia; Sciuridae
Source: RNAcentral
ACCAGGUUAGGCUCUUGGUAUGAUUUGUCACCAGCUUCAGAGAAUCUGGCUGACAUUUUUUGACAUUUGUAAGGCCAGUCUCGUGUGUAGAGCUGCUGAGACCUGCCAGGCAGGUGCAAGAGAUACCUGCCAUCCUGCGGCUAUAUUCCUAGAGAACCUCAGUUCCUAGCCAAUCAUGGGGUCCAUGUUCUGUCCUUCACAGUCUCGAAUGUGACAUUGACUGGAGGUGGGAGUAAAUAUGCCAUCCAAGAGUCCAGAGCCACUGGAGUUUUCACCAAGAGAGAGUAAGGAGACGGACAGAAUGAAGAUCACAUCUCCUAGGGGGGAUAAAAUAAAACCAAGGAUGAAAACUUUGUAUGUAACCUCAGUCCAGUGAUAAAUCAUGAACCUCUAAACAGGAAAGUGCACAGAAGUGACUUAGGAUUUGUGGUGGACUAUGAACUCUCAAUCAGAAGGCGGCUACUCUGCUGCCCCAUGCUAUCCAGAUGCUGUCCAUGGACACCUGGUGGCUGGACUUGGGCUGGGGGAGGUGGGCUUGUGGGGCUGAACCUGACCAAGGUGCUUGUUUGGAGCUGCCUAUGUAAAGACAGGUCAUGGGGCGUGCUCACCCCCCAGGAUGGAGGGAGAGUAUAACACUUAUUAAAAACAGGAGGUCUCCCCAUGAACUGUCACAGGUGGUAUGCACUCCAGGAGAGGUUUGCUGGCCCUUUAGGGUUACUGCUCACAUGCAGACGGGCCUCUUUAUGAAACCAGCCUGUGCACACAGCCAUGGCCUC